AAGCUCGUAGUUGAAUUUCGGGAUCAGACUGUCGGUCGUGCCUCGGUACGCACUGGCAUUAUUGGUUCCUACCUUCUGAAGAACCGCGAUGUCAUUAAUUUGGUGUCGCGGGGAAUCAGGACUGUUACUUUGAAAAAAUUAGAGUGUUUAAAGCAGGCUUACGCUUGAAUACAUUAGCAUGGAAUAAUGAAAUAGGACGUUUGAUUCUAUUUUGUUGGCUUCUAGGAUCGACGUAAUGAUUAAUAGGGAUAGUUGGG
This 257-nucleotide ribosomal RNA is filed under the name uncultured Glomus. RNAcentral's name for it is "partial 18S ribosomal RNA". It matches the Rfam family "Eukaryotic small subunit ribosomal RNA", at positions 624 to 886 of the family's 1831-position model. The record is from RNAcentral. Lineage: Eukaryota; Fungi; Glomeromycota; Glomeromycetes; Glomerales; Glomeraceae.